RNAcentral lists this ribosomal RNA (450 nucleotides) under uncultured bacterium. Its description in RNAcentral is "SSU rRNA". It matches the Rfam family "Bacterial small subunit ribosomal RNA", at positions 26 to 518 of the family's 1533-position model. The record is from RNAcentral.
AGGAUGAACGCUGGCGGCGUGCUUAAUACAUGCAAGUCGAGCGGUAACACUUCGGGUGACGAGCGGCGGACGGCUGAGUAACGCGUAGGAAUGUACCCCAAACUGAGGGAUAAGCACCAGAAAUGGUGUCUAAUACCGCAUGUGCUCUAAGGAGUAAAGCUUCGGCGGUUUGGGAACGGCCUGCGUAUGAUUAGCUUGUUGGUGAGGUAAUAGCUCACCAAGGCAACGAUCAUUAGCUGGUCUGAGAGGAUGAUCAGCCAGACUGGGACUGAGACACGGCCCAGACUCCUACGGGAGGCAGCAGUAGGGAAUUUUCCACAAUGGACGAAAGUCUGAUGGAGCAACGCCGCGUGCAGGAUGAAGGCUUUCGGGUCGUAAACUGCUUUUAUCUGUGAAGAUUAUGACGGUAGCAGAUGAAUAAGGAUCGGCUAACUCCGUGCCAGCAGCCGC